UUUUUAUUGAGAGUUUGAUCCUGGCUCAGGACGAACGCUGGCGGCGUGCCUAACACAUGCAAGUCGAGCGAUGAAGCUUCUUCGGAAGUGGAUUAGCGGCGGACGGGUG
This 109-nucleotide ribosomal RNA is filed under the name Clostridium botulinum. RNAcentral's name for it is "partial 16S ribosomal RNA". It matches the Rfam family "Bacterial small subunit ribosomal RNA", at positions 1 to 108 of the family's 1533-position model. The record is from RNAcentral. Lineage: Bacteria; Bacillati; Bacillota; Clostridia; Eubacteriales; Clostridiaceae.